GAUGAACGCUAGCGGCAGGCUUAAUACAUGCAAGUCGAGGGGCAACAGGGGUAGCAAUACCUGCUGGCGACCGGCAAACGGGUGCGGAACACGUACAGAACCUUCCUUUAAGUGGGGGAUAGCCCAGAGAAAUUUGGAUUAAUACCCCGUAAGAUUAUGGAGUGGCAUCACUUUAUAAUUAUAGAUUUAUCGCUUAAAGAUGGCUGUGCGGCUGAUUAGGUAGUUGGCGGGGUAACGGCCCACCAAGCCUUCGAUCAGUAACUGGUGUGAGAGCACGACCAGUCACACGGGCACUGAGACACGGGCCCGACUCCUACGGGAGGCAGCAGUAAGGAAUAUUGGUCAAUGGACGCAAGUCUGAACCAGCCAUGCCGCGUGAAGGAUGAAGGUCCUCUGGAUUGUAAACUUUCUUUUAUCUGGGACGAACCCUCGAAUUCUUUCGGGAUUGACGUACCAGAGGAAUAAGCACCGGCUAACUCCGUGCCAGCCGCCGCCGUAAC
RNAcentral lists this ribosomal RNA (500 nucleotides) under uncultured bacterium. Its description in RNAcentral is "bacterial SSU rRNA". It matches the Rfam family "Bacterial small subunit ribosomal RNA", at positions 28 to 524 of the family's 1533-position model. The record is from RNAcentral.